GAUGAACGCUGGCGGCGUGCCUAAUACAUGCAAGUCGAGCGAACAGACGAGGAGUUUGCUCCUCUGACGUUAGCGGCGGACGGGUGAGUAACACGUGGAUAACCUACCUAUAAGACUGGGAUGACUGCGGGACACCGGAGCUAAUACGGGACAAUAUAUUCGACCGCAUGGUGCAAUAGUGAAUGAGGGGUUGGCUGUGACUGCUGGAUGGAUCCGCGCCGCAUUAGUAAGUUGGUACGGUAACGGCUUACCAAGGCAACGAUGCGAAGCCGACCGGGGAGGGUGAUCGGCCACACUGGAACGGAGACACGGUCCAGACUCCUACGGGACGGCGCAGUAGGCAACCGUCCGCAAUGGGCGAAAGCCUGACGCAGCGGCCGCGCGUGUGUUGUGAAGGUGCUCGGAUCGUGAUACUCUGUUAUUAGGGGAGAACAACUGUGUCAGUAGCUGUGCACGUCUUGACGGUACCUAAUGAGAAAGCCCCGGCUAACUACGUG
Molecule: ribosomal RNA, 497 nt
Filed under: uncultured bacterium
Lineage: Bacteria
Description: partial 16S ribosomal RNA
Rfam family: Bacterial small subunit ribosomal RNA
Source: RNAcentral